GACGUAGGGCGCGAGCGUUGUCCGGAUUUAUUGGGCGUAAAGAGCUCGUAGGCGGCUUGUCGCGUCGUUCGUGAAAACUUUGGGCUCAACUCCAAGCUUGCGGUCGAUACGGGCAGGCUAGAGUUCGGUAGGGGAGACUGGAAUUCCUGGUGUAGCGGUGAAAUGCGCAGAUAUCAGGAGGAACACCGGUGGCGAAGGCGGGUCUCUGGGCCGAUACUGACGCUGAGGAGCGAAAGCGUGGGGAGCGAACAGG
RNAcentral lists this ribosomal RNA (253 nucleotides) under uncultured bacterium. RNAcentral describes it as "partial 16S ribosomal RNA". It matches the Rfam family "Bacterial small subunit ribosomal RNA", at positions 524 to 776 of the family's 1533-position model. The record is from RNAcentral.